UCAAUCCCAUCGAGAAUUCCUUUCUCACCACUCAGUUCUUAUCUUCCCCACACAUCCAACCAGCUAGUCUCUGCCUCCAUCUUCCUUUUCCUGCGACAUUUGCCCACCACCCAGCGCCACAUCUCCACCGGCAGCCGACGCGCACCACCAGGCUUCCUCCCACGACUCCGCCACAGGCCCAGCCAGGCCUCACGUGUGCAGGCCGGACGCCAGCCAGGAGCCCAUACACAGUCAGCCGCGCUGCAACAACACCGCCGCCCGUACGCCGCCUACCGCACCAACCACGCCCGAGCAAGCAACUCCCCUCGACCCCGGCUCCCCGUCCGGCAACCGACGCCGUCACGGGCUACCCCCUGCAACUCGAGGAGCAUCACACCCGUGCCAUGAAUCUCCGACCCUGAUGCCCAAGCUCCCACCGCUGUUCGGUGCCAGAUCCGCGCCGCGCCACCUUCUUCGACCGUGUCGGGAGCCGCCGUCGAUGCCCAUGGCUCUGCUCCGCUUCCCCUCUUCCUUGAGGGUGGCACACGUCGGCGUGGUGGUGGGCACGCAACGGCAUGGGGGUUGCCCGGUGGCACAUGGCGGCGUUGGGUGGGCCGGUGGCGCAUGGUGAGGCGGGGCGUGGUGUGGCAUGACAGGAGGUGGAGAUGGGAUAGGGAUUUGUUUGGAGGGGAGUGGGUGGGUUAUUUCUUUUUUUCUCUCGUUAGCACCAGUUCGGGUUGACUUAUAAUAGUAGCGCGGGUUGUAUAUCCGAAACCACAAGGACCUUUGUGUAAAAAGGACACGACGGUGAAUCCGGAGACUAAAUCCAUGCUUUAUUAUUAGGGAGAGAUAUGGAUCAAUAAUAUCAACUAAUAUACAUAAGCCAGGCCGUUGUACUUUUUUUUGCUAGAAGAGCAUCCUUUUUUUAGCGAAGCUA
Molecule: non-coding RNA, 916 nt
Organism: Triticum urartu
Lineage: Eukaryota; Viridiplantae; Streptophyta; Magnoliopsida; Poales; Poaceae
Source: RefSeq, a predicted model, not a curated record